Molecule: ribosomal RNA, 318 nt
Filed under: Monilinia seaveri
Lineage: Eukaryota; Fungi; Ascomycota; Leotiomycetes; Helotiales; Sclerotiniaceae
Description: partial 28S ribosomal RNA
Rfam family: Eukaryotic large subunit ribosomal RNA
Source: RNAcentral
UGGGUGGUAUAUUUCAUCUAAAGCUAAAUAUUGGCCAGAGACCGAUAGCGCACAAGUAGAGUGAUCGAAAGAUGAAAAGCACUUUGGAAAGAGAGUUAAACAGUACGUGAAAUUGUUGAAAGGGAAGCGCUUGCAAUCAGACUUGCGCGCGGGGUUCAGCGGGGCUUCUGCCCCGUGCACUUCCCCGCGCGCAGGCCAGCAUCGGUUUGGGUGGUUAGAUAAAGGCCUGGAGAAUGUGGCCCUCUUCGGGGGGUGUUAUAGCUCCAGGUGCCAUGUAGCCUACCUGGACCGAGGACCGCGCUUCGGCUAGGAUGCUGG